UACGGGGGGGGCAAGCGUUGUUCGGAAUUACUGGGCGUAAAGGGCUGGUAGGCGGCCAACUAAGUCGGAUGUGAAAUCCCCAGGCUUAACCUGGGAACUGCAUCCGAUACUGGUCGGCUUGAAUCCGGGGGAGGGAUGCAGAAUUCCAGGUGUAGCGGUGAAAUGCGUAGAUAUCAGGAGGAACACCGGUGGCGAAGGCGGAUCUCUGGGCCUUACCUGACGCUCAGGUGCGAAAGCUAGGGGAGCGAACAGG
This 253-nucleotide ribosomal RNA is filed under the name uncultured bacterium. RNAcentral's name for it is "partial 16S ribosomal RNA". It matches the Rfam family "Bacterial small subunit ribosomal RNA", at positions 524 to 776 of the family's 1533-position model. The record is from RNAcentral.